This 253-nucleotide ribosomal RNA is filed under the name uncultured bacterium. RNAcentral describes it as "partial 16S ribosomal RNA". It matches the Rfam family "Bacterial small subunit ribosomal RNA", at positions 524 to 776 of the family's 1533-position model. The record is from RNAcentral.
UACGUAGGGUGCGAGCGUUGUCCGGAAUUAUUGGGCGUAAAGCGCGUGUAGGCGGCUUUGCAAGUCGGGUGUGAAAUCCCUCGGCUCAACCGAGGAAGUGCGCCCGAAACUGCAGAGCUUGAGUACCGGAGAGGAUGGCGGAAUUCCUGGUGUAGCGGUGAAAUGCGCAGAUAUCAGGAGGAACACCGGUGGCGAAGGCGGAUCUCUGGGCCUUACCUGACGCUCAGGUGCGAAAGCUAGGGGAGCGAACAGG